This 1059-nucleotide ribosomal RNA is filed under the name uncultured bacterium. RNAcentral's name for it is "bacterial SSU rRNA". It matches the Rfam family "Bacterial small subunit ribosomal RNA", at positions 8 to 1064 of the family's 1533-position model. The record is from RNAcentral.
AGAGUUUGAUCCUGGCUCAGAUUGAACGCUGGCGGCAGGCCUAACACAUGCAAGUCGAACGGUAGCAGGAAGUGCUUGCACUUCGCUGACGAGUGGCGGACGGGUGAGUAAUGCUUGGGAACUUGCCUUUAGGUGGGGGAUAACAGUUGGAAACGACUGCUAAUACCGCAUAAUGUCUACGGACCAAAGGGGGCUUCGGCUCUCGCCUUGAGAGAGGCCCAAGUGAGAUUAGCUAGUUGGUGGGGUAAAGGCCUACCAAGGCAACGAUCUCUAGCUGUUCUGAGAGGAAGAUCAGCCACACUGGGACUGAGACACGGCCCAGACUCCUACGGGAGGCAGCAGUGGGGAAUAUUGCACAAUGGGGGAAACCCUGAUGCAGCCAUGCCGCGUGUGUGAAGAAGGCCUUCGGGUUGUAAAGCACUUUCAGUUGUGAGGAAAGGUUGGUAGUUAAUACCUGCCAGCUGUGACGUUAACAACAGAAGAAGCACCGGCUAACUCCGUGCCAGCAGCCGCGGUAAUACGGAGGGUGCGAGCGUUAAUCGGAAUUACUGGGCGUAAAGCGCACGCAGGCGGCUUGUUAAGCUAGAGGUGAAAGCCCCGCGCUCAACGUGGGAACUGCCUUUAGAACUGGCAGGCUAGAGUCUUGGAGAGGGGAGUGGAAUUCCAGGUGUAGCGGUGAAAUGCGUAGAUAUCUGGAGGAACAUCAGUGGCGAAGGCGGCUCCCUGGCCAAAGACUGACGCUCAUGUGCGAAAGUGUGGGUAGCGAACAGGAUUAGAUACCCUGGUAGUCCACACCGUAAACGCUGUCUACUAGCUGUUUGUGUAUUUAAUACGUGAGUAGCGAAGCUAACGCGCUAAGUAGACCGCCUGGGGAGUACGGCCGCAAGGUUAAAACUCAAAUGAAUUGACGGGGGCCCGCACAAGCGGUGGAGCAUGUGGUUUAAUUCGAUGCAACGCGAAGAACCUUACCUACUCUUGACAUCCAGGAAAUUUUUCAGAGAUGAAUUAGUGCCUUCGGGAAUCCUGAGACAGGUGCUGCAUGGCUGUCGUCAGCUCGUG